This 441-nucleotide ribosomal RNA is filed under the name uncultured bacterium. RNAcentral's name for it is "bacterial SSU rRNA". It matches the Rfam family "Bacterial small subunit ribosomal RNA", at positions 958 to 1398 of the family's 1533-position model. The record is from RNAcentral.
AACGCGAAGAACCUUACCUACCCUUGACAUCCUGGGAAGGCUGCAGAAAUGUGGCUGUGCCGAAAGGAACCCAGAGACAGGUGCUGCAUGGCUGUCGUCAGCUCGUGUUGUGAGAUGUUGGGUUAAGUCCCGUAACGAGCGCAACCCUUAUCCUUAGUUACCAGCACGUGAUGGUGGGAACUCUAAGGAGACUGCUGGUGAAGAACCGGAGGAAGGCGGGGACGACGUCAAGUCAUCAUGGCCUUUAUGGGUAGGGCUACACACGUGCUACAAUGGGGCGUACAGAGGGAAGCCAACCCGCGAGGGGGAGCCGAUCCCGGAAAGCGCCUCGUAGUCCGGAUUGAAGUCUGCAACUCGACUUCAUGAAGUUGGAAUCGCUAGUAAUCGCGAAUCAGAAUGUCGCGGUGAAUACGUUCCCGGGCCUUGUACACACCGACGCAC